CAAAAAUUCUGUAUCUGGGAACACUCUCGUGAGAGUAACUGAGCAACUGUUCCCAGAAUGAAGUUUCAAGAUUUAGUCCGGAGUUUUUCUUCUGGCAAAUUCAUGAAAAGUGUCAAACGAUAGGUAGAGUUGCAUUUGUGUACAAAAACAGAACGCGGUGAAAGCAAGUAACCUUACAUUUGUUAAAAAAUGGAAGUAAUGGGCGAUAUUUAUUUAAU
Rhagoletis zephyria (snowberry fruit fly) is the source of this 218-nucleotide long non-coding RNA. RefSeq lists it as uncharacterized. The record is from RefSeq and is a predicted model, not a curated record. NCBI's taxonomy places the organism in Eukaryota, Metazoa, Arthropoda, Insecta, Diptera, Tephritidae.